GACGAACGCUGGCGGCGUGCUUAACACAUGCAAGUCGAGCGGUAAGGCCCUUUCGGGGGUACGACGAGCGGCGAACGGGUGAGUAACACGUGGGUGACCUGCCCUCCAGCUCUGGGAGUAAGCCUGGGAAACCGGGGUCGUGAUACUGGAUAUGACUCCAUGACGCAUGUUGUGGGGUGGAAAGCCUUGUGCGGCUGAGGAUGGGCCCGCGGCCUAUCAGCUUGUUGGUGGGGUGAUGGCCUACCAAGGCGACGACGGGUAGCCGGCCUGAGAGGGCGACCGGCCACACUGGGACUGAGACACGGCCCAGACUCCUACGGGAGGCAGCAGUGGGGGAAUCUUGCGCAAUGGGCGAAAGCCUGACGCAGCGACGCCGCGUGAGGGAUGACGG
RNAcentral lists this ribosomal RNA (391 nucleotides) under uncultured bacterium. RNAcentral's name for it is "bacterial SSU rRNA". It matches the Rfam family "Bacterial small subunit ribosomal RNA", at positions 28 to 414 of the family's 1533-position model. The record is from RNAcentral.